RNAcentral lists this ribosomal RNA (497 nucleotides) under uncultured bacterium. Its description in RNAcentral is "partial 16S ribosomal RNA". It matches the Rfam family "Bacterial small subunit ribosomal RNA", at positions 28 to 507 of the family's 1533-position model. The record is from RNAcentral.
GAUGAACGCUGGCGGCGUGCCUAAUACAUGCCAGUCGAGCGAACAGACGAGGAGCUUGCUCCUCUGACGUUAGCGGCGGACGGGUGAGUAACACGUGGAUAACCUACCUAUAAGACUGGGAUAACUUCGGGAAACCGGAGCUAAUACCGGAUAAUUUAUUGAACCGCAUGGUUCAAUAGUGAAAGACGGUUUUGCUGUCACUUAUAGAUGGAUCCGCGCCGCAUUAGCUAGUUGGUAAGGUAACGGCUUACCAAGGCAACGAUGCGUAGCCGACCUGAGAGGGUGAUCGGCCACACUGGAACUGAGACACGGUCCAGACUCCUACGGGAGGCAGCAGUAGGGAAUCUUCCGCAAUGGGCGAAAGCCUGACGGAGCAGCGCCGCGUGAGUGAUGAAGGUCUUCGGAUCGUAAAACUCUGUUAUUAGGGAAGAACAAAUGUGUAAGUAACUAUGCACGUCUUGACGGUACCUAAUCAGAAAGCCACGGCUAACUACGUG